UUCUGGGGAUAUGCACUCACUCAGGUGCUUGGAGGCCUGAUGGCUGACCGGGUGGGUGGUGCUCGCAUCAUGGUGGCCAUGUCGACAGUAGGUGCCGUCAGCCUGCUGCUCUUCCCACCGCUGGUCUCCAUCUGGCCACAGGCUGCCAUCCUGCUCCGCUGCCUGCUUGGCCUGGUCCAGGGCCCUCACUACCCGAGCCUGGGCAGCCUGAGCAGUCAGCUGGUGCCGGCGCCGCGUCGUCCGCUGUUCUUCAGCACGGCC
Pollicipes pollicipes is the source of this 261-nucleotide long non-coding RNA. RefSeq lists it as uncharacterized. NCBI's taxonomy places the organism in Eukaryota, Metazoa, Arthropoda, Thecostraca, Pollicipedomorpha, Pollicipedidae. The transcript has 3 exons. The record is from RefSeq and is a predicted model, not a curated record.